CCUACGGGAGGCAGCAGUGGGGAAUUUCGGACAAUGGGCGAAAGCCUGAUCCAGCAAUGCCGCGUGAGUGAAGAAGGCCUUCGGGUUGUAAAGCUCUUUUGUCAGGGAAGAAACGGUGAGGGCUAAUAUCCCUUGCUAAUGACGGUACCUGAAGAAUAAGCACCGGCUAACUACGUGCCAGCAGCCGCGGUAAUACGUAGGGCGCAAGCGUUAAUCGGAAUUACUGGGCGUAAAGCGUGCGCAGGCGGUUUUGUAAGUCUGUCGUGAAAUCCCCGGGCUCAACCUGGGAAUUGCGAUGGAGACUGCAAGGCUAGAAUCUGGCAGAGGGGGGUAGAAUUCCACGUGUAGCAGUGAAAUGCGUAGAGAUGUGGAGGAACACCGAUGGCGAAGGCAGCCCCCUGGGUCAAGAUUGACGCUCAUGCACGAAAGCGUGGGGAGCAAACAGGAUUAGAUACCCUGGUAGUCCACGCCCUAAACGAUGUCUACUAGUUGUCGGGUUUUAAUUAACUUGGUAACGCAGCUAACGCGUGAAGUAGACCGCCUGGGGAGUACGGUCGCAAGNUUAAAACUCAAAGGAAUUGACG
RNAcentral lists this ribosomal RNA (584 nucleotides) under uncultured bacterium. Its description in RNAcentral is "bacterial SSU rRNA". It matches the Rfam family "Bacterial small subunit ribosomal RNA", at positions 338 to 915 of the family's 1533-position model. The record is from RNAcentral.